CCUACGGGAGGCAGCAGUGAGGAAUAUUGGUCAAUGGACGAGAGCCUGAACCAGCCAAGCCGCGUGAGGGAUGAAGGUACUGCGUAUCGUAAACCUCUUUUGUCAGGGAACAAAGUCGAGUACUAGUCCCGUGAUGUAUGUACCUUAUGAAAAAGCAUCGGCUAACUCCGUGCCAGCAGCCGCGGUAAUACGGAGGAUUCGAGCGUUAUCCGGAUUUAUUGGGUUUAAAGGGUGCGUAGGCGGUCGGGUAAGUUAGAGGUGAAAGCCUGAGGCUCAACGUUAAAAUUGCAUUUGAUACUGUUCGGCUAGAGUGUAGUAGCGGUAGGCGGAAUGUGUGGUGUAGCGGUGAAAUGCUUAGAGAUCACGAAGAACACCGAUUGCGAAGGCAGCUUACCAGGCU
RNAcentral lists this ribosomal RNA (400 nucleotides) under uncultured bacterium. Its description in RNAcentral is "partial 16S ribosomal RNA". It matches the Rfam family "Bacterial small subunit ribosomal RNA", at positions 338 to 735 of the family's 1533-position model. The record is from RNAcentral.